UAAGCGGANGAAAAGNNNUNNCNAAGGAUUCCCCUAGUAACUGCGAGUGAAGCGGGAAAAGCUCAAAUUUAAAAUCUGGUGGUCUUUGGCCGUCCGAGUUGUAAUUUAGAGAAGCGUCUUCCGCGCUGGACCGUGCACAAGUCUCCUGGGACGGAGCGUCGUAGAGGGUGAGAAUCCCGUCUUUGGCAUGGACACACCAGGGCUUUUGCGAUGCGCUCUCGAAGAGUCGAGUUGUUUGGGAAUGCAGCUCAAAAUGGGUGGUGAACUCCAUCUAAAGCUAAAUAUUGGCGAGAGACCGAUAGCGAACAAGUACCGUGAGGGAAAGAUGAAAAGCACUUUGGAAAGAGAGUGAAACAGUACGUGAAAUUGUUGAAAGGGAAGCGCUUGAAGUCAGUCGCGUCGUCCGAGACUCAGCCUCGCCUCGGCUUGGCGUACUUCUCGGCCCGACGGGUCAGCAUCAAUUUCGCCUCUCGGAUAAUGGCGAGGGAAAAGUGACACCUUUACGGUGUGUUAUAGUCUCUCGUCGCAUGCGAGGGUCGGGAUUGAGGAACUCAGCACGCGCCCUCGGGCGUCGGGGCUUUCGCCCACGAUACGUGCUUAGGAUGUUGGCGUAAUGGCUUUAAACGACC
This 629-nucleotide ribosomal RNA is filed under the name uncultured Russulaceae. RNAcentral describes it as "LSU rRNA". It matches the Rfam family "Eukaryotic large subunit ribosomal RNA", at positions 47 to 649 of the family's 3401-position model. Lineage: Eukaryota; Fungi; Basidiomycota; Agaricomycetes; Russulales; Russulaceae. The record is from RNAcentral.